This is a non-coding RNA of Schistosoma mansoni, 46 nucleotides long. Lineage: Eukaryota; Metazoa; Platyhelminthes; Trematoda; Strigeidida; Schistosomatidae. The record is from Rfam.
GCACUGCUGAGGAUUCCUAUAAUAGAACGAAACGGCCGUCCAGUGC